GGAUUAGAUACCCUGNUAGUCCACCCCGUAAACGUUGGGAACUAGUUGUGGGGACCAUUCCACGGUUUCCGUGACGCAGCUAACGCAUUAAGUUCCCCGCCUGGGGAGUACGGCCGCAAGGCUAAAACUCAAAGGAAUUGACGGGGACCCGCACAAGCGGCGGAGCAUGCGGAUUAAUUCGAUGCAACGCGAAGAACCUUACCAAGGCUUGACAUACACCAGAACACCGUAGAAAUACGGGACUCUUUGGACACUGGUGAACAGGUGGUGCAUGGUUGUCGUCAGCUCGUGUCGUGAGAUGUUGGGUUAAGUCCCGCAACGAGCGCAACCCUCGUUCUAUGUUGCCAGCACGUAAUGGUGGGAACUCAUGGGAUACUGCCGGGGUCAACUCGGAGGAAGGUGGGGAUGACGUCAAAUCAUCAUGCCCCUUAUGUCUUGGGCUUCACGCAUGCUACAAUGGCCGGUACAAAGGGCUGCAAUACCGUGAGGUGGAGCGAAUCCCAAAAAGCCGGUCCCAGUUCGGAUUGAGGUCUGCAACUCGACCUCAUGAAGUCGGAGUCGCUAGUAAUCGCAGAUCAGCAACGCUGCGGUGAAUACGUUCCCGGGUCUUGUACACACCGCCCGUCAAGUCAUGAAAGUCGGUAACACCUGAAGCCGGUGGCCUAACCCUUGUGGAGGGAGCCGUCGAAGGUGGGAUCGGUAAUUAGGACUAAGUCGUAACAAGGUAA
Molecule: ribosomal RNA, 728 nt
Filed under: Microbacterium sp.
Lineage: Bacteria; Bacillati; Actinomycetota; Actinomycetes; Micrococcales; Microbacteriaceae
Description: bacterial SSU rRNA
Rfam family: Bacterial small subunit ribosomal RNA
Source: RNAcentral